This 275-nucleotide ribosomal RNA is filed under the name uncultured bacterium. Its description in RNAcentral is "partial 16S ribosomal RNA". It matches the Rfam family "Bacterial small subunit ribosomal RNA", at positions 28 to 293 of the family's 1533-position model. The record is from RNAcentral.
GACGAACGCUGGCGGCGUGCCUAAUACAUGCAAGUCGAGCGAACAUUUGAGAGCUUGCUCUCAAAUGUUAGCGGCGGACGGGUGAGUAACACGUGGGCAACCUGCCUAUAAGACUGGGAUAACUUCGGGAAACCGGAGCUAAUACCGGAUAAUUCACAUCUACUCAUGUAGAUGUGCUGAAAGAUGGUUUACGCUGUCACUUAUAGAUGGGCCCGCGGCGCAUUAGCUAGUUGGUGAGGUAACGGCUCACCAAGGCCACGAUGCGUAGCCGACCU